RNAcentral lists this long non-coding RNA (597 nucleotides) under Betta splendens (Siamese fighting fish). RNAcentral's name for it is "lncRNA (ENSBSLG00000024555.1)". The record is from RNAcentral. Lineage: Eukaryota; Metazoa; Chordata; Actinopteri; Anabantiformes; Osphronemidae.
AUGGCCAACUUCGACCCUUUUAACCCGAGCCCGGUCAAUAACAGCUGUUUAACGAAAACGAGGGAAAGUACGUCGACGAAUCAGGUGAUGUCAUUAAAAGCCUUCAGCAUGCAGAGGCUCGUCCAGCUGGUGCAGAAGAGCAGCAGAAGAGCCUGCCAGCUCUUCUGCUGUCCACUGGACGCCCUGCUGUGUGAGAAGCCGGCGUGCUGCCCCGGUUCAGAUUCUCAACCCACAGCGCCAAAGACUGCACAAGUAGCACUCACCAGUCCGCCGUCCACCAUUUUGAUACUGAACAUCAGCAACUCCACUCUGAUCGACUGCGUCAUUGGGCCUGACACUUACGCAUCUGCAGCGGCGGAAAGUCAUUCUCUGAUGCAGGAACCUGCUCUUCAUGUGCACGAUAAGUUGAGGUGCAGCUGCAGCAACGGACACCAAGGUUCAGCACCGACGUCUCCUACUUCCGCCUCAUCGUGUGUUUCUUCACAAGAGCCUCCGAGCAUCAACAUCCACGGCUCUCACCUCAACUACGUCAUCAUCGGUGACAACAACUACAUGCACGCCGAACACGUGGCUGAAGCAGAAGCACCACUGCUGUGA